Syngnathus acus (greater pipefish) is the source of this 838-nucleotide long non-coding RNA. RefSeq lists it as uncharacterized. NCBI's taxonomy places the organism in Eukaryota, Metazoa, Chordata, Actinopteri, Syngnathiformes, Syngnathidae. The transcript has 3 exons. The record is from RefSeq and is a predicted model, not a curated record.
UAGUGUAACAAUGCUAAGGAGUCUUCCUUGCAAGCAGUUUCAGUUUCAGAGGCUACCAGGAGAUCAUCUACAUAAACUAGAAGUUGGCUUUUGUUUGACAUCUGAAAAUCAGCCAAACAGGCCAUGAUAGCUUGAAUGAAAAUAGUUGGACUAUCAGCAAAUCCCUGUGGCAAUCUGGUGUACGUAUAACUUUGCCCUUUAAAGGUAAACGCGAACCAAAACUGUGAGUCUGGGUGAAUUGGCACUGAGAAAAAUGCAUUGCUAAGAUCAAUUACUGUGAAAAACUUCUGGUUAGGCUUCAAAGUGUUUAGAAGUGUGUGUGGGUCAGGCACAUUAGGUGCUCUUGUCUGCACUGCAUCAUUCACUGCUCGUAAAUCUUGUAUCAUUCGCCAAUCAAUUUUAUUGGCCUUUCGAACUGGAAAAAUAGGAGUGUUGCAAGGAGAAUCCGAGCACUUCCUAAUGACUCCUCCUGACAAAAGAUCAUUUAUAACAGGGGCAAUCCCAUUUAUUGCCUCCUGUUUUAAAGGAUAUUGCUUAACUCUUGGACGCCACUCUGAUCUUGGUUUGAUCUGCACUGGGGGAAUGGAUGUUAAAAGUCCUACAUCAGAUGGGCCCUUUGUCCACAGUUUUUCAGGAAGCCCAGCCAAUUCCCCCUCCUCCUUUUCAUUCAAACAAAUGUUAACUAGUCAGGGAAGCGCACAAGCGCAUGCCCUACCAACAGCUACUUCACACACAGUUUGCUUCCACAUGUCACAACUAGUACUGUAGCUCCACCCAUCACCUUUGUCCUCAUAAUCAAUGAGGGAAUCUAGUCAUGCUGAAAAUUUGGCUUUUCCUC